GGAUGAAAAAAUAAUGCAUUGUAUGCUGGAAGGGAUAAAUCUGGGACUGAGUACAAGCAAAACAAGAAGACCAAAGGAAGUUAGCUGAGCAGGUAUCCCAGAUAUUCAUGUCAUCCACCAAGGUUGUAUCAGUGGCCCUUUCUCUGUGACACAUCCAUCCAUUGGAAACUUUGUACAACUAGCUGAAGGAAGAGAAACAUUAUGUUUUACAUGUCUGGACGACUUCCUGGAAACUGCAACACUUGGGACUACCCAAGGAUUGAGACUUCUAUUAUGUUCACUGGAGCCCUAAUGAUCGCAGCCAUUUCAGGAGAUGCCAUCAAUUACAGCCAGGAGCUCAUUCAGAAGUGAAAGAUGAGUUCCAUUCUCUGUUACUUAGAGUUUUAUGGCCCCUGCAUUUUGAGAAUGCAACUGCAUAUGAGAACCAAACUUCUUGGAAAUUCUAACGGGCAUGUCAUAGGCAGCCUAGCUACUUUAACAGAGCAUUUCAAUCAGCCUUUCCCCACGGUUUGGCCAAAUAAUUAAUAUGUUUCCUGGCAACAUACUGAGAAAGAAAGCUGGUAUAGAAUCAUUCUAACAACAGACCAAGAUGAGAGAAGAAGCCAAAUCUACUCCAUUUCUCAACCUUCAGUCUUCUUGCAUAUGGGAAAAAGAUAUUUCCCAGAAUUACUUCAGACUGUGACAACUGCAAAGGUCUGGUGGGACCCUGGAGUGCUGCAGGUUCCUAGAGUUCAACCCUCAUGGUAGGUUGUCUCUAGGGGAAGGAUACAGCAAACCAAAGUACCCUCUGGGACAAAGGAAACCAGAUUGUGCAUCUCUUCUGCCAGAUAUCUCCCCAGUUGUGAGAAGAAGAGUUACAUAUUCAGAUACAAGAAGCUCAAGGAACACCUGGGAGAUACUUUGCGAGAUGAACCUCAUCAAGGAAUAUAGUCAUCAGACUAUCUAAAAUCAAUAUGAAGGAAAAAGCUGUAAAAGCAGUGAAAGAGAAGCAUCUAAUAACUUAUAAAUGAAAUCUUAUCAAAUUAACAGUGCACUGCAUAGCAGAAGUCUUACAAGCCAGGAUCCUAUUUUGUCCUCUAAGAAGAAAAAAAAAAAGAAAAAAAAAUCUGCCCGUCAAUAAUUUUGCAGCUUGCCAAACCAAGCUUUAUAAAUGUAGAGAUAAAGUAUUUCUCAGACAGUCACAUGCUGAGGGAAUUCAUCUCCACUGGCCUGGUUCUACAAGAAAUGCUUGAAGGAGUUCUGAACAUGGAAAUAAAAGAUGAUACUUCCUGUCCUAAAAGCACAUAAAAGUAUAAAAUUAUCAGAUCCUAUAAAGCAGUUAGAUAAUUGACACUAAAAACCUGUUUAUUUGCCACACACAACUGCCUAUAUCACUGACCCAAACUUUGAAGUGCUAUUUGCUUCAAUUUCCAGGCAAAUAGACUCUCUGUACACUCAGUACCUUACCCACUUGGCAUUCCCUUCAUUUUCUCCAUAGAUUCAAAAUGAGCCUUUUCAUUAACUGCUUUCUGUUGAUUUCCAACCUAUUUCUUUGAUAUAUAUCUGUAAGCUUUUCUAAAUCUAGGAAUUGGCUAAAUAUAAUGCAUGAUGGACUGAGUUGAACACCAGAAUUAAGGAUAAGAUGCUCAGAUUUACUAAACAAGUUAUGGCCUACUUAUGUGGGCUAUGAUUCCAAUAACAGUUUAAUUUUCAAAGACUUCACUAUAUUGUUUUGAUUUGCCUGGUACUUGUGGUACCACUGGUGCUCCCACUGGUCUUUGCUGAUGCUGUCUAGAGAGGCAGAAAGGUGACCCCAGUGUGGCCACCUGGUGUAUUCUGAAGGAGAGGAGUCGAGUCCCCGGACUGUGGUAUAAAAAGUCUUCCCUGUUAGAUGCUUGUUGUGACAAUUCAAUGUCUGUCUGUUGGGGAUAGAUAGUGGCUCCCCAAUUGCUUGUUGUGCUGUGAUCUUCUGCUGUAUUUUCUUUUUCUUUUUUUGAGGCAGAAUCUCACUCUGUCACCCAAGCUGGAAUG
This is a non-coding RNA of Macaca mulatta (Rhesus monkey), 2010 nucleotides long. The record is from RefSeq and is a predicted model, not a curated record. Lineage: Eukaryota; Metazoa; Chordata; Mammalia; Primates; Cercopithecidae.